This is a long non-coding RNA of Cyprinus carpio (common carp), 953 nucleotides long. RefSeq lists it as uncharacterized. Lineage: Eukaryota; Metazoa; Chordata; Actinopteri; Cypriniformes; Cyprinidae. The transcript has 3 exons. The record is from RefSeq and is a predicted model, not a curated record.
UCCAUCAUAAAAAGUACUCCACAUGGAGCAUAAUUUCAAUAUAAGCCAAGAUGAAACUGUUUUUUCUUUGCUGUAAACAAAACUUGGUUCUCACGAGACUAGCAUAUUCUCACUGGAGCUUAUGCUACGUCUGCAUUACAUGUCAUCUGCUGGAACGCCACUCUCUCAUGAAUGUGGAAGCUAGAGAUAACGAUUUAUAAAGUUUUAAAUAUGGAUAUAUUUCUUACACAAAUUUCAUUAGUUAACUUCAGAAGGCUUUUACUCUCCAGAGCCAUGUGGAAUACUUAUUAUGAUGGAUUGAUGCACUACUUUGGAUUUUAAAAUCUCAACCACCAUUCACUGCAAUUAUAUAUCUUGAAAGAGUCCGGACAGUUUUAAUGUUACUCCGAUUGUAGCCAUAUAUACAUACCUAGGAUGGCUUAAGGGUGAGUAAAUCAUGGAGUAAUUCUCAUUUUUUAGGGUGACCCUUUCCUUUAAUCACUUGUUUGUUUCUGCUAGGGUGAAUGCAGCCAUUAUAGCAGGCCAUGAUGAGGAUGUUGGGAAAAGGACAUUUGUUUAUGUGCACACAGCACAUUCCUUAAUCCAGUCCCUCUUGGUAAACAAAAAGAGAGGUUUCAAACAGAUUCCUACUGACAAGGUGUCUAUGCGAUCACAUGUUCCUGUGUGUGGGCUACUUUGGCUGAACCUCUGAUAGUUUUUUUUUUUUUUUUUUAUGGAAGGACAUUAAAUAUGUUCUAAUCCCUGAGGCUCCAAGAGACUACAACUUUUUUGAGUCCCUUAUGAAGAAUAGAAAAAUACCAUCAGGAGCAUAUCGUGGAGGAACACUUUCUCAGAUAUGUGCGAAACAGGUUUCUUAGGGCAAAACAAUUGAAAAUAAAAAGAUGUUGGCUAGUCAAGCCAACUAAUGGAGCAUUUACUCUUCUGCUGGCUAUGGACAUAUGUGACAUUGUAAG